CGACGAAUCUUCCGCAAUGGGCGCAAGCCUGACGGAGCAAUGCCGCGUGUGGGAUGAAGCAUCUUCGAUGUGUAAACCACUGUCAGAUUCUAGGAACACUGACCAGAAUCAGAGGAAGGGCCGGCUAACCUCGUGCCAGCAGCCGCGGUAAUACGAGGGGCCCGAGCGUUAAUCAGAAUCACUGGGCUUAAAGCGUGCGCAGGCGGUCCAGCAAGCGUCUUGUGAAAUCCCUCGGCUCAACCGGGGAAGUGCAGGGCGAACUGCUGGACUUGAAGCAGGUAGGGCUGAUGGAACCAUGAGUGGAGCGGUGAAAUGCGUAGAUAUUCAUGGGAACGCCGAUGGGGAAGCCGAUCAGCUGGGCCUGUCUUGACGCUCAGGCACGAAAGCGUGGGGAGCAGACAGGAUUAGAUACCCUGGUAGUCCACGCCGUAAACGAUGCACACUAGGUCGGGGCAGCUCUGACGCUGUCUCGGCCGAAGGAAAACUAUUAAGUGUGCCGCCUGGGGAGUACGGUCGCAAGGCUA
RNAcentral lists this ribosomal RNA (524 nucleotides) under uncultured bacterium. RNAcentral describes it as "bacterial SSU rRNA". It matches the Rfam family "Bacterial small subunit ribosomal RNA", at positions 355 to 896 of the family's 1533-position model. The record is from RNAcentral.